AACCAAUCGACUCUUCCAAUCCCAAUUUGAACGACUUUUUUUGAUUUUUUUGGCUGGGUUGGAGUCGACGAUUGAGGGCAUCAAGAACGAUUUGGGUUCUUCUCCUAUUCACUUUCUUAUUCCUCAAUCCACCAUUGCUUUGCUUUCCAACUCUCCCAUCAACCUUAGCUCCUUCUAAAGUACCCUUGUUCCAAUUUGAACUAUUCUCACAGUUUUCACUCAAUUUCUUCACUGGAAAUCUCUUACCGGACUGGACCCAUUUUCCAAAUCGUUUAAGCUCUUAGCCCCAUCAUCCAAUACAUCGAUUCUUUGAUAAGGUUUCAAAUUUACAAUUGGUAGUUUUUUAAGUGGUUGAAGGUCCUUUCAACGACAAAGAACAACUAUAAGUAAAACCAUGAGAAAAAGCUACUGAAGAAAGUCAAUUUUUUGGAAUGGAAGAGCGAAGGAGGCCACAGAUAGUCUCAUGUUAUGCAGCGCUAUCAUGUUACUGGUCGUGACGAUUAUAAGAAGUAUUCGAGUUUGUGUCGAAUGGUGCAUAAAUUGCUGAACAUAUUGAUGAAGAUGCUAUACUGGGGGCACUAAAGCAGAGCUUGAGGCAGUUAGAAACACUUGGUGCUGAACGGGCUGUUCUAGAAGACAUGCUCAAAGAUAUGAAGAGGAAGGAUGAUAUAUUACCAAAGUUGAUGACAUCAACUGGCUCCUUUGAGGACCUUUUCAGGAAAGAGAUAGCAAAGUACGAUCAUAUAUGUGAAGAUAUUGCCCACAAUAUCGAUGCACAAGAACAAUUAUUGAUGCAAAUCCAGGCCCGAAAUGAGGACUUUGCCGCCAUCUUCUUUGGUAUAUUUGACAUGAGAAUCGGUUAGUAUCUCCACUCUUCUGUUUCUCUCCACCUAGAUCCAUCGUCUUUUUCAACUUCAUCUAUCGUUCGUUCUGUUAUCUUGAACAGGUUUGUAUCACUAUUACCGCUCUAAAAUUUACCUGCUUGUGAGAAGCGGGAAAUAUAAGGUUACUAUGGUGAAAAGUAUAAAAAGUUACUGUAAAUAUGAAUUUGUAUAGUAUGUUGGAAGGAAAACCAAAAUGCUCUUUUCAAUGUCUGGUUCAUUCUCAUGAAUGUGCAGCACCAGAUCAUCAAUAAGUCUAUGCAAUUUUAUUAGAUAGAAGUAUAAAAAGUAUAAAAUUUGUAUGCAAUUUUAUUCUAAAGCUUCUCAUAUGGAAUAUAACAUUUUAGAAGUGUAGUUUAGUUAGUUUGAAACUUAAGUUGCAUGUAAUAAUCUUUUCCCUUUUAACAUGCUGAUGUUUUAUCAAAUAGUCCCCUUUCUUUUUAUUGUGGCUGCUAUGAAAAUAAUAGGUAAUACUGGCCACAAAUAUUGCUGAAUCAUCUGUGACAAUACCUAAGGUGGCCUUUGUCAUUGAUUCAUGCCGAUCUUUACAAGUAUUUUGGGAUAAUACCUAGAAAAAUGAAUUUGCAGAGCUAACCUGGGUUUCCAAGUCUCAGGCUGACCAGCGUAGGGGUAGAACUGGAAGAACUUGUGAUGUGUGGGUUUAUCGGUUGGUAACUGGAUCAUUUUUCAGCCAGUUUGAGGACUAUGAGCCUCCCUCUAUACUGAGGUUGUCUUUGAGGCAGCAAGUGCUUCAAAUUUGCUGUGCUACCUCUAAAGCAAUCAAUGACGCAAAGGUUUUGCUGUAGAGGGCUCCAGAUCCUCCACGCCCAGAGGUUGUUGAGGAUGUGUUAAAUUUGUUAGUUCACAUGCGUACAUUGGAGAAAACAUCUCCAAGGGGUCGGUAUGAACCUACAUUUUAUGGACGAAUGCUUGCAAGCUUUUCUCUAUCCUUUGAUGCUUCUGUUUUAAUACUUUUGGACACAUUGGGAUGCUGAAGGAAGGCAUUGUUUUGGGUGUAAUUGAUGGAUACACAACCCCUACCCAUUCUGCGUCCUUUUGGUGUGAACUUUUGAGUACAGAGUAUAUGGACUGCUAUUUCGCGGAAGAUAGUGAUAACACUGGCCUAACUGGCAAGAAGGAGAUAAUACUAAUGGAAAAUUUAUGUGCAUUUCAGUUUUGGCAACGGGUGUUCAAGGUAAUAUUAGACAACUUUUUUUUAAUGUCCUUACAAUGGAUUUGUCUUACAUUAUGAAGGAUAAGCUACCCGUUGACCAUUUGAAGCAAAUUUUACUAUUUAAUCCAAUCAAAGCUUCUACUUCACUUGCUACCAAGCUUGAAGAAGAAUUGUGCUUCCUUUAUAAUCUUGUACAAUCAUCUCUGGAUCAUAUUUCUGAAAUAUGUAUAAUAAUCUUGUAUAUGUCAU
Long non-coding RNA from Cannabis sativa, 2304 nucleotides. RefSeq lists it as uncharacterized. Lineage: Eukaryota; Viridiplantae; Streptophyta; Magnoliopsida; Rosales; Cannabaceae. The transcript has 8 exons. The record is from RefSeq and is a predicted model, not a curated record.